Neofelis nebulosa (Clouded leopard) is the source of this 2592-nucleotide long non-coding RNA. RefSeq lists it as uncharacterized. The record is from RefSeq and is a predicted model, not a curated record. The transcript has 3 exons. Lineage: Eukaryota; Metazoa; Chordata; Mammalia; Carnivora; Felidae.
GCUCCCUUCCUCUUGCUGUCCCCCCACUCACCACCCAGGGACAGCAGGGGGCCAGAGGACAGCCUCCGGGGCUGCGGCUGGGAGGCCUGUCAACUCGGCAGCCACCUGGCCUGAUGGAAGGCACAGCUGUGCGUGGGGGGAGGGGGAAGGGAAGAAGAGCGUGUUCGGUUUCUAGGGACGGAACUACUGCCUGGGAUGCACUUAAUUUAGCCCAAGUCCGGGGAGGUGGGCAGAUUAAGGCACGUUGCGUGUAGUUCUUUCCCGGAGCUGGGGACCGCGGCCAGGAGCCAGGUUUGGUUUAAGUGUGUUACUGGCCAAAGGGGCCUGAAGCCAACCGCAGAGACGGGUGAGGUAAACACCCACUUGGGUCAGUCCUUCCUCCAGCAGCACAGGACAGCCUGACCUCGCCUUCCCCAGGGCCACGUUGAGCCAGAGGAGGCAGUAUGCCUGUCUCCCCUCGGCGUCACAGCCUGCAACUCCCUUCCGUAGGUAUGGUUGGUCUCAUUGGGUUCCGCAACCACCUGCCAGGGAGAUAAAGUUUCCAUUUUAAGGAUGGAGAGGGAAGCUGCUAGGGCAGAAUAGGCUUGCAGGGGCCGUAGGGGGCAGCUGGAACAAGGGCCCCAGCUCCAGCCCUUGCUCUUCCGUCCCCUGCCCAUUUGAUGGAAGGAGACCGACCCACUCAUCUCCUUCCCCAACUGUAGAAUGGGCCCACAGGGGAGGCAGAACAUCCCCUCCAAGCCUGCACUCAGGCGCCACGCUGAUGUCAAGAAGGCAGAGCGAGCCCAAACUGGGAAUCACAAGAUCUGGGUUUGAUCCCUGGUGCGGCUGCAGAUUGGGCAAGCCACUGCUGAUCCCUGGGACUGUUUCCCCACCUAAACAGGCCAAGCCCUGUCCAGUUGAUGGUGUUCAGGAGGGCUUUGGUGGGAGCUCAGGCACAUUAGGCUUCAUACAUCACAGUAUGUGAUGGAGCUUCAGAGGCUCCCACGGGGGCUCGUUCUCACCCUUUUCCUCCUUCCCACUUUCCUUCUCUUCCCAUCUCCUUGUCCCUCAACCCCGGGGCCACAGGAUCUGACUAAAGGCCAAAGCAAGUCAGACUCUCCAGGACUCACUGCCCAGCCGCUGCCCCGGCAAGCAGGGCCCAAAGAAUUAGGACCAGGCAGGUGGGAACAGAAUUGGUGGCUGGGACUACCUCAUCUACCUGAUGAAGGCCCAGUGGAACCAUUGGCUGCAUCACUAGGGGAGGGCACUGAGGACAAGGGAGGAGGCAACAGGCUUUGCCAAUUGCUCCUGGACUAUUGUGCCCGGUUCUCACAUCACGAUGUGUCCAGAGGAAAAGAGCAGCUGACCCAGGAAGCAACAGGCUACCUGACAGUCGGAGACCGUGGAAAGAAGAGCGCGUGGAAAGAAGAGUGGCAAGAAAUUACGGAGAUAUCCUUUUAAACUGGACAGAGGAAAGAUGUUCUCGGAAUCAGAGAUGCCCAAAUAUAGAAAGUGAGCUUCUCAUUACUGCACACAGAUGUUGAAUCAUCAUUAGCCUGGGAGGUGAUGGAGAGGAUUACUACAUUUGAGUAAAAAUAAGGAAAUUAAGUAGAAAUAAUGAAAGUCAUUUUACGUUUAUAGUACUUGACAUUCAUUAAGUUGUUUUGAAGGGGCCCCCGGGUGGCUCAGUCAAAAGAGCGUGCAAUGCUUGAUCUUGGGGGUGUGAGUUUGAGCCCCAUGUUGGGUGUGGAGCCUACUAAAAAAAAUAAUAAAAUUUUAAAAAUAAAACAUAAUAAGUUUAUUGGGGCGCCUGGCUGGCUCAGUCAGAAGAGCGUGAGAAUCUUGAUUUCCGAGUCAUGAGUUUGAGCCGCAUGUUGGGUGUAGAGAUUGCUUACAGUUAAAGAGAAAAAUCAAGUUUAAAAAAAAAAAAAGUUGUUUUGGUACAACUGAAUUAAAAAAUUUUUUUUAAAUGUUUUAUUUAUUUUUGAGAGCGAGAGCGAGAGAGAGAGAGAGAGCAAGCAUGAGUGGGGGAAGGGCAGAGAAAGAGGGAGACACACAGAAUCUGAAACAGACUCCAGGCUCUGAGCUGUCAGCACAGAGCCCGAUGCGGGGCUCAAACUUGGAAACGACGAGAUCAUGAUAUGAGCCAAAGUCAGACGCUCAACCAACUGAGCCACCCAGGUGCCCCGGUACAACUGAACUUUUAAAUAGUUUUGGGAGGUAGAUAAAAAUCAUUCUGAUUUCAGGUUCAAGAUAGCACAUUGAGGACACACAGCACUGACCAAAACAGAUAAAAAUGCCUGCCUGGUGGAGCUUACAAUCUAGAAAUUCCAUAGAUUUUAUAUUAUCCUUGUGAUACUAGAACUUAGGGAUAGGACAAAAUAAGACAAUGCAAGGAAGGGGGCACCUGGGUGGCUCAGUGGGUUAAGUAUCUGACUCUUGAUUUCAACUCGGGUCAUGAUCUUGUGGUUUGUGGGAUCGCGCCUCACGUCUGGCUCUGCGCGGACAGUGUGGCACCUGCCUGGGAUUCUUUCUCUCCCUCUCUCCAUCUCUGCUCCUCCCCCACUCAUGCUCUCUCCCUCUCUCUCUCAAAAUAAAUACAUAAACGCUAAA